This 391-nucleotide long non-coding RNA is filed under the name Fragaria vesca (wild strawberry). RNAcentral's name for it is "long non-coding RNA (FVES_LNC001049)". The record is from RNAcentral. Lineage: Eukaryota; Viridiplantae; Streptophyta; Magnoliopsida; Rosales; Rosaceae.
CAGAAUCUAAUAUGUGAGAACAGAAUGGUUGCAAUUUCAUAUAUAGAACUGUAUCACAAUUGACUUCCCGUAGUGAUCAUCACAUUACAUCAAACUUCCCCUUCCUCUUUCAAACAGUCAAAAAUAGAGAGCCAUGUGAAACAAAACAUUAUAUAAGUUCCAACACAAACACAAACAUUAUAUAUGGUGCUCUUUACUAACAAGCCUCAGUUUAGCCAAUCAUUUAAUGAUUUUAUGCUUGGAAUACAUGAUUAGCAAAAAGUUGGCAUUACCUCGUUCAGAUUGCCGAGAUGCCCUAUUCUGAAAACCUUGCCAGCGAUUUUGUUCAGGCCAAGGCCUAAACUCAGAUUGUACCUUUUCCACGCCCUUCUCACAAUUUCUGUACUGUCAA